Acanthopagrus latus (yellowfin seabream) is the source of this 5212-nucleotide RNA transcript. It is a transcript of the gene named retinoic acid induced 14, with no coding region annotated. The transcript has 22 exons. Lineage: Eukaryota; Metazoa; Chordata; Actinopteri; Spariformes; Sparidae. The record is from RefSeq and is a predicted model, not a curated record.
AGAGAGAGAGAGAGAGAGAGAGAGAGAGAGAGAGAGGCAGGCAGGCAGGAGUCCGUGAACAACUUUUAAUGUAUAUUGGCCGAGCCGGGCCAGUGAGUAGCUCGCAGGGACACACUGUUUUCCCCUCCUUUAUGCAUCCUCCUGCUCGACUUAGCUCAACAACGGCUCGUUGUUUUCUCACCGGUUCGGUAGCUAAUCUGUUUUUGGCACAAAAAGCCGUAGUGUGUCAGUUUCUUUUUCCUCCCGCGACUCCCAGCACAGAGCCGGCCUUGACUGAGUGAUUGAGUGAGUGACUGCAUGGACCAGACUGAACAUGAAGAGCCUUAAAGCCAAGUUUAGAAAAACUGAUGUCAAUGAGUGGAACAAAAAUGACGAGCGCUUGCUUGCUGCAGUGGAACAUGGCGAGGCGGAGAAGGUGGCAUCGCUUCUUGCCAAGAAAGGUGCCAGCGCUGUAAAGCUCGACAGUGAGGGCAAAUCAGCUCUUCAUGUGGCAGCUGCACGAGGUCAGACAGACUGUCUGUCUGUCAUCCUGGCCCACGGAGCUGACUUGUCAAUCACUGAUGCUGCAGGUUACAAUCCGUUACACCUGGCUGCCAAAAACAAUCACACUGAGUGCUGCAAGAAGCUCAUUCAGAAUAAAUUACCGAUCGAUGCUACAGACAGCUCAGGAAAGACUGCUCUUCAUCACGCUGCUGCCGGUGGGAACAUCCAGGCUGUCCAGCUGCUGUGUGAACUCAAAAGUCCCAUCAACAUGAAAGAUGCAGAUGGGCUCACGCCUUUGCUGCUGUCAGCCAAAAACUCUCAUGCUGAGGUGUGCAGCACUUUGCUGGACUGCGGUGCUGAAAUCAAUGCUUCAGACAACAGUGGCAGGACAGCCUUGAUUUUUGCCAGCGAGUCCAACGCCGUUCCUGUCGUUGAGGUCUUGGUUCAGCGAGGAGCAGAUCUGUUGGCUGUGGAUUCACAAGGCCACGAUGUGACACACUACAUUAAGCUCUUAGGCAACUCUGAGGUCAAAACUGCUCUUGUUGCUGCCCUGAACAGACAACAGAUCUCAGACGCAAAGUCUCCUAGAAGUCCUCAGCAUGAUCAAGUAGCUAAGCUAAGUGAUGAACGGAUCACAACUCCCAAAAAACGAAAAGCACCUCCACCUCCUAUUAGCCCACUGCAGAGCUCUGGACCCUCCUCUCCUUCAGUUGUUACCUCUGCAGGGACACCUGCAUCUAACAAGAGUGACGCUCCCAGAAGCUUCAGCUACAAGGAGGACGAAGUUGGAGGCACAGCACUGAGAGUGGAGGUUGAGAAGCUCCAUGAGGAGAGAAACAUGUUGCUGGAGACAAUCGAAGACCUGAAGCAGACGGUGGAGCAGACGGUGACUUUAACCGAAGCGGAUACAAAGGUCGAGCACAGUUUUACAGCUUCUGCAGCUCUGGUUUCUGCUCUGCAAGCUAAGAUUACUGCUCUUACUUUGGAGAACCAGCAACUUGCAGGCAAACUCAAGAAACUUCCAUCCCGCCAAGGAAGCGAGGACCUGAAGGAGACCAGCCGUCCAAACAGCAUGGCCUCGAACUCCUCCUUCCACUCCACUCAGGACGAGUUUGAGUCUGUGCCACAAGUGGGAAGGGAAGAUGGAUCUGGUGGUGUGUUCCGGGAAGAAGAGCAGAGUGAAGGAGGAAAAGGAGGGAGCAAAGAGGAGAUCAGACUGUUGAGACAGGCACUUGAAAGCGUUCAAACGAAACUUCUAGAAACCAGGAAGGAAAACCGCUCGCUUCAGGCUCAGCUGAAACCUGAGCGCAGAGAAAGAGAGGAGUAUGAAAGUGUGAGGGAGAAAGGAAGAGAGGAAGAGUUGAUGGAGACUCUUGCGGAGCUUCAGGCGAAGCUGACAGACACUCAGGAGAGAUACCACCAGGCUGUGGAGGAGGUGGAGGAACUGAGAGCACAAGUGGGAAUGGGAGAUGGUGAGACGAUGGAGAAACAGGAGAUCCAGAGACGCUCUGAGCAAGAGAAAGCAGCUCAACGAAUCAGACAGCUGGAGGAGGCACUGGGGAGGAUGGAGGAGGAAAGACAGAGUGGAGCGGAGAAGGCACAGAUUGAGGAGCUGUACAAGGAGGCACAGGAGGAGAUUAGGAUGCUCCAGGAGGCUCUGAGGGGCACAGUACCAGUCGAAGCUGCAGCCAAAGACUUUGACGAGAUGAAGUCCGAGCUGAACGAGGUGAUUGCCGGGAUGCAGCGCCGCUUGCUGGAACUAUCGCACUCCUACAGUGAAACUAAGAGUCAGUUAAGCGCUGCACAGAAACAGCUGGCUGAGGCCAAAGCUGUGAGCAGUGAAGCCUCCUCGCCCUCCUCAGAGCAACAGCAGGUCCAGGUGCUGACCAGCAAGGUGGAGGAGCUGCAGACGUUGCUAGCUGAGAUGGAGAAAAAGUAUUCAACCGCUCAGGAGGAGAUUUCAGCUCUGAGGCAGGAGGUUGAAGCUCAGGCGCAGAGCUCAGUGGCUCUCGCCGACCACACACGGGUGAUGUCGUCGCUGGGAAAUGCCAUUAAAGAGUUGGAAAGCCAGUCAGAGGAGCUAAAAGAUCAACUACACCAGAAAACUUUGCAGGUGGAGGCUCUUCAGAACAGGCUGACAGCAGAGAAAGAGGUCACCCCAGAUGAUUCAGUCUCACGCGUGGAGCACGAGACAGCAAGAGAGCAGCUGGAGGGCGAGGUGAACCAUCUGACGCAGCUCCUCCAGGGGGCCCUCAGGAAGCAGGACGAGAUGGCUCUGGAGGCUGCUGAUGCAUGGCAGAAGGCGCGGGAUAAUGGUGCUGAGCGGGAGGCCCUGCAGGAGCUGGUGAUGUCGAGGGAGAAGGAGAACCAGACGCUGACCUCCAGACUGGCCGAGUCUCAGGAUGCUGUGUGUCAGCUCAAACAGCUGGUGGAGAAUCACGUUGCUUCAGAGAGAGAGAAGAACAAGAGGAUAGAUGACCUGUCGCGGGAGGUGGGGAAGCUGAAGGACGCCUUAAACAGCCUAUCACAGCUCUCAUACACAGGCUCUCCGUCGAAGAGAGUGCAGCAAAACCAGCAGCUGGAGACAAUGCAGCAACAAAUCAAACAACUGCAGUACCAGCUAGCUGAAUCAAAGAAGCAGCACCAUGAGAUAGUAUCAGUCUACAGGAUGCACCUCCUCUACGCUGUCCAGGAAGGGCCACCAUAUGGUUCUGAUGUCACAGCUAUACACCGCUGCCAGUCAUACCCCCUGCCAGGCUGCACUGACUAAGUUGAUGCAGUAACACAGAGGGCGCUGCAUGCUCUGGUCUGUAAGUGCAGACCAAUCAGAUCAGACUGGGCUCAGGAGGUGGGCACUAAAAUGGAGCGUUUCAGACAGAAGGGUCAGAUGGACGAGGACGUGCAGAAAGCCCUGAAGCAGAUCUUAAUGAUGUGCAAGAUGCCAAGCCCAGCCAAGGAGGCCUGCUGAGACCCACCGGGCACAGUUUUUCCAAAAGCAGGACGUGAACGAAACUGAACUGAUGUCCUCCCGUCCAAAUUCACAUGUUGCUUGCCCUGCUUACAAGCAAAGGAACCAACACACGGUGCCUCUGGAGAAACCUCGAGUAUUUGUUAAAGAGGAAAAGUAUUACAGUCACAUACUCUUUGCCUUUGUUAAUGUCAAACUGACCGUCUAAGAUCAGAAGGUCAUUAAUGUUAUGAUUUGAAGAUGUUUUUGGGAAACUCCGGCCCAGCCUAUCCCAGCGUACAGCAACACUAUACAUCAGCUAACUGACCAUUCAAAUGAGUGGGUGAACCAGGUGUACCAGCCAAACUAAUCUCAGUAUGUGCACGUUCACAUAACACUGUUAGUGUGCGGCAACUUUAAAUCACAUGCAGUGUGAUGAAUCAGUCUGAUGAAAUAGUGAGUUCAGUGUGUUUUGUUUCUGUUACAAAGUGCGCUUAGAGAACUUAAAGCCUCACUUAGCGCUGCUGUUAAUAGUAUCUAUUUUAUGAUACAACAGUGUUUGUACUUGUCUAAUGUUUCACGGUUGUCGACGUGCUUCUGAUACAAUCUAAAUUAUUCGUGCCCUUUUAGUAACAAUGCAUGUGACUUUGCUCUAUGCCAGCCCAAAAAAUCACAUAGAAAUGUUUUUUUGGCCGCACUUCUAUGAAGAAAAUGCAUGAUACUGUUUGUACUGCUAUUUUUCCUACUAGCACAAAAAAUUAUAAAAAAAAAAAAUGUAUUUUACUGAAUUGUACUAUCAUGUCAUGUUUUCUAAGUUACUGUACUUUUAAAGAAGAGGUUUGAUAGAUGUAUUUUUGACGGCCUUGUUUUGUGUCCGAGUGAAUGAGAUUUUCUUCCUCAAGUAUAACAACGCACUAUUUGGUCCAGACACACCUGAAUUAGUUUUUCCUGUAAGUAUUCAUAUUCUACACUUUGAACAUAAUUGUUUACUGUAAUAGAAAAAAACAUUUCAGUUGUUACAAAUGUCCAACAGUAUGGACUCAGCAUUAACUCUUUUGUUCUUACUUGAAACGCAUGCAGAAAAGGUUGAGUUUUGCAUAAAAACCAGAGUUGUGUCUGUCGUCUUGUGCCUGUAAUCAGACAGUAUUUCUCUGAAAUUACAGCCAAUAACUCUCAUUUCUCACUGAUGCCAAUGUCACCAGGCUUCCUUGUACAAUCUCAUUAAUUUAUUUCAUUUACCAGGAAUGUUUUUUUUUUUUUUCUGUCUGUGAUGCUCCCGUUUCAAACUCUGUGUAUCAUUGCAGGUACGGACAUAAACUGUACAGUGUUUGAGAACACAGCUUGUCCUCUAGAGACUUCUGAACUGUUUCCACAUCACACUCCUUUGCCUUAGUACUAUACUUAGAGCCAUACACCCUUCUUCUCGAGAACACACCCGAUGCCAAUGCUCUGAUUCAGUGAAUUUGUAUCAGUCAGAAGCUCCUCUCUCACUCAGGAAGUACUUUUUUUUUUUUUUACUGAACAUGACUUACACCUGACUGAGAUUGUGAGUAGAGCUUUUGCUUUAUUUCACAGUUUGUAGAAUAUCACAAACAACAUUUCUCUUUUUUCUCUGUAGGUAUUGACUGAAAUGUUUUGUAACAAGAAAGGGAAAAGAUGGAAACAGCUAUUCCUAUUGGUUGUUUUCUUCACUAACAGUUUUGUAGUGACAUGGAGAAAAAAAAAGCGCUUGUUUGCCAACUGCUUUCUCUGUCCACGUUAAUAAAUUUUCAAGAUACUGUA